AAUCAAGUGCCUUAAGGGUGUUCGGUGGAUGCCUUGGCGCUGAGAGGCGAUGAAGGACGUGCUACGCUGCGAUAAGCCGUGGGGAGCUGCGAAGAAGCUUUGAUCCACGGAUUUCCGAAUGGGGAAACCCACCUUCGAUAGCUGGAACUCCAAGAUCUCGUAUUUUGGGGUUUGAACAGCAAUGUUUGAGACCAAGCCGCGAGGUUUUGGAUUUCCAGUUAUCAAGUGAAGGUAUGAGACUUCCGAAUAAAAUAGGAGGUUUUAAGCGAACCCAGGGAACUGAAACAUCUAAGUACCUGGAGGAAAGGACAUCAAUCGAGACUCCGUUAGUAGUGGCGAGCGAACGCGGACCAGGCC
Molecule: ribosomal RNA, 357 nt
Filed under: Bradyrhizobium sp. 12LoS4_2
Lineage: Bacteria; Pseudomonadati; Pseudomonadota; Alphaproteobacteria; Hyphomicrobiales; Nitrobacteraceae
Description: bacterial LSU rRNA
Rfam family: Bacterial large subunit ribosomal RNA
Source: RNAcentral